RNAcentral lists this transfer RNA (87 nucleotides) under Candidatus Komeilibacteria bacterium RIFCSPLOWO2_01_FULL_45_10. RNAcentral's name for it is "tRNA-Tyr". It matches the Rfam family "tRNA". Rfam says of the family: Transfer RNA (tRNA) molecules are approximately 80 nucleotides in length. Their secondary structure includes four short double-helical elements and three loops (D, anti-codon, and T loops). Further hydrogen bonds mediate the characteristic L-shaped molecular structure. tRNAs have two regions of fundamental functional importance: the anti-codon, which is responsible for specific mRNA codon recognition, and the 3' end, to which the tRNAs corresponding amino acid is attached (by aminoacyl-tRNA synthetases). tRNAs cope with the degeneracy of the genetic code in two manners: having more than one tRNA (with a specific anti-codon) for a particular amino acid; and 'wobble' base-pairing, i.e. permitting non-standard base-pairing at the 3rd anti-codon position. Lineage: Bacteria; Candidatus Komeiliibacteriota. The record is from RNAcentral.
GGGUCGGUACCAAAGUGGUCAACUGGGGCAGACUGUAAAUCUGCUGGCCCCGUGCCUUCGUAGGUUCGAAUCCUACCCGGCCCACCA